UUGUGGAUAAUACAGGAGGAGGAG
This 24-nucleotide non-coding RNA is filed under the name Rattus norvegicus (Norway rat). The record is from RNAcentral. Lineage: Eukaryota; Metazoa; Chordata; Mammalia; Rodentia; Muridae.